UCAAGCUACUAAGAGCGUAGAGUGGAUGCCUUGGCACCGAGAGCCGAUGAAGGACGUGAUAAGCUGCGAAAAGCUACGGGGAGUUGCAAAUAAACUUUGAUCCGUAGAUGUCCGAAUGGGGAAACCCGGCUGUGCAAACCACAGUCAUCAUACAGCCAAUCCAUAACUGUAUGAAGGGAACGCUGGGAACUGAAACAUCUAAGUACCAGCAGGAGGAGAAAGAAACAUCGAUUUCCUAAGUAGCGGCGAGCGAAAGGGAAACAGGCCAAACCAAAGUACUUGUACUUUGGGGUUGCGGACUGCGUCGUGGCACAGAUUGAAGGUAGUCGAAGCGUUUGGAAAGACGCAUCAUAGAGGGUGAUAAUCCCGUAGACGAAACCGGAUAGAAGCCUAGCAGGAUCCAGAGUACCACGAGACACGAGAAACCUUGUGGGAAGCCGGGGGGACCACCCCCCAAGCCUAAAUACUCCUCGGUGACCGAUAGCGUAUAGUACUGUGAAGGAAAGGUGAAAAGAACCCCGGGAGGGGAGUGAAAAAGAACCUGAAACUCUAUGUUUACAAGCAGUGGAAGCACCAUAUGCGUGCGACCGCGUACUUUUUGUAGAACGGUCCGGCGAGUUAUUCGUAGUGGCAAGGUUAAGUACCAGAAGGUACGAAGCCGAAGGGAAACCAAGUCUGAAUAGGGCGAAGAUUAGUCGCUGCGAAUAGACCCGAAACCGGGUGACCUACCCAUGGUCAGGAUGAAGUUACCGUAAAAGGUAAUGGAGGUCCGAACUCACAUCUGUUGAAAAAGGUGGAGAUGAACUGUGGGUAGCGGAGAAAUUCCAAUCGAACCCGGAGAUAGCUGGUUCUCCUCGAAAUAGCUUUAGGGCUAGCGUUGUUAGGAGUCUAAUGGAGGUAAAGCACUGAAUUCCCUAGGGGGCCCACAAGCUUACCGAAGGAUAUCAAACUCAGAAUGCCAUAAAGAUACCAACAGCAGUCAGACUACGAGUGAUAAGACACGUGGUCAAAAGGGAAAGAGCCCAGACCAUCAGCUAAGGUCCCCAAGUGUAUGUUAAGUGGAAAAGGAUGUGAGAUUUCGAAGACAACUAGGAUGUUGGCUUAGAAGCAGCCAUACAUUCAAAGAGUGCGUAAUAGCUCACUAGUCGAGAGAUCUUGCGCCGAAAAUGUCCGGGGCUAAAACAUACCACCGAAGCUAUGGAAUCAUCUAGUAUGAUUGGUAGAGGAGCGUUGCAUCGGCGCUGAAGCAGUACCGGAAGGAGCUGUGGAGCUUAUGCAAGUGAGAAUGCCGGAAUGAGUAGCGAGAUAGAAGUGAGAAUCUUCUAGGCCGAAUAUCCAAGGUUUCCAGGGUAAAGCUGAUCUGCCCUGGGUAAGUCGGGACCUAAGGCGAGGACGAAAGUCGUAGUCGAUGGACAACUGGUUGAAAUUCCAGUACCACCUAUUAUCAGAACUGCAGGGACGCAGAAGGAUAGGGAAGGCGCAGAAUGGAAAGCUGCGUGCAAGCACAAAGUCGCAUCUGGUAGGCAAAUCCGCCAGACGAGGAUGAAGUGUGAUGCGGAUCGAAAUACAAGUAGAGAAGUUCCUGAAUCCACACUGCCGAGAAAAGCUGCUAUUGCGUGAUAGGUGCCCGUACCGUAAACCGACACAGGUGGAUGAGGAGAGAAUCCUAAGGCCGACGGGAGAAGCGUUGUUAAGGAACUCGGCAAAAUGACCCCGUAACUUAGGGAGAAGGGGUGCCUGCUUAACGGUAGGCCGCAGAGAAUAGGCCCAAGCAACUGUUUAACAAAAACACAGGUCUUUGCUAAACCGAAAGGUGAUGUAUAAGGGCUGACGCCUGCCCGGUGCUGGAAGGUUAAGGGGAGAGGUUAGGAGUAAUCCGAAGCUUUGAACUUAAGCCCCAGUAAACGGCGGCCGUAACUAUAACGGUCCUAAGGUAGCGAAAUUCCUUGUCAGGUAAGUUCUGACCCGCACGAAAGGCGUAAUGAUUUGGGCACUGUCUCGACA
Molecule: ribosomal RNA, 2004 nt
Filed under: metagenome
Description: bacterial LSU rRNA
Rfam family: Bacterial large subunit ribosomal RNA
Source: RNAcentral